AUGUACAGGUUCUAAACAUUUUUUCUGCUUAUAGGAAGAAAGACAAGCUUGGUGAACCAAUAGCAGCUCCACGACGGCUUGUUUCUUCUUUGUGGAAAGAUCAGCUAUUGCUUCCAAUGAUGAAGUGAAAUCAUAGGAAAGCAUCUUGAACAGGGAAUGGAAGAUCCAUAGCUUGAUAGAAAUCUAAAGACACAAAAAGAAGAAG
Molecule: long non-coding RNA, 205 nt
Organism: Rosa rugosa (rugosa rose)
Lineage: Eukaryota; Viridiplantae; Streptophyta; Magnoliopsida; Rosales; Rosaceae
Exons: 3
Source: RefSeq, a predicted model, not a curated record